Molecule: ribosomal RNA, 253 nt
Filed under: uncultured bacterium
Lineage: Bacteria
Description: partial 16S ribosomal RNA
Rfam family: Bacterial small subunit ribosomal RNA
Source: RNAcentral
UACGGAGGGUGCAAGCGUUAUCCGGAUUCACUGGGUUUAAAGGGUGCGUAGGCGGACAGGUAAGUCAGUGGUGAAAUCUCUGGGCUUAACUCAGAAACUGCCGUUGAUACUAUUUGUCUUGAAUAUCUUGGAGGUAAGCGGAAUAUGUCAUGUAGCGGUGAAAUGCUUAGAUAUGACAUAGAACACCAAUUGCGAAGGCAGCUCGCUACACAUAUAUUGACUCUGAGGCACGAAAGCGUGGGGAUCAAACAGG